Molecule: long non-coding RNA, 779 nt
Filed under: Oryzias javanicus (javanese ricefish)
Lineage: Eukaryota; Metazoa; Chordata; Actinopteri; Beloniformes; Adrianichthyidae
Description: lncRNA (ENSOJAG00000002841.1)
Source: RNAcentral
AUGUGUUUUCAGUUUCUAAGCCUUACCAGAAAUGAACCGUAUCUUCAUGGAACCAAAUUAUCCUUCAUAGAAAUGAGAAAAACAUUGUGUAGUCAGCAGGUCACACAGCUGGACGAGUCUGCAGCCUUCAGCCGUGGGCGUGUGCAGAGAAACCAGUCCAGAAUGGAUUCAUCCAAAACUGAACCCGGACCUACAGACUUAGAAGGUCAACAGCUCACACACACAGUAAAACCUACAGCCUCCAGCUGUGAGUCUGUGAAGAGUGAUCGUCCCAACAUCCUCCCUCCAAGCUUUGAACCUGAACCAGGAACCUUCAGACUCACAAGGUCAACAGCUCACAAAAACAGUCAAAUCUACAACCUCCAGCUGUGGGUCUGUGAAGAGUGAUCGGUCCAAACAUCCUCCUCCAAGCUUUGAACCUGAACCAGGACCUUCAGACUCACAGUAAGAACCUGUUUCUACAGAAUAAAGAUUUCAUCUCUCAGAAGGAACAACAGGGUACUCAUCAAGAACAUAAGCUGAUCCAUCCAGGAUUGACAACAAUCUGCUGUGACAAGUAUAGGUCUUAGAGCAAAGGCAGGGGUUUGAAAACAAAAUUAAUAAAGCCUGUUUUAAUUCAGUUAUUACAUUUUGAAGUCUGAGAUGAGUUUUUAAAUGUAAAAUGUUCUUAGAUUUAGAAGUCAAUUUCCAAAAUAUCUCUUAGUUCUUACUAAUUUUUGAUAUUGACAAUUUAGUAAAGAUUACUUUCUUAUCAAACCAAAUGUCUGUGUAUUAUUUAG